AGUCUAGCUUUUCAGAUUCGGUACUAUAUAGCCAGCUAAUUAUAAAUAUGUCAAGUCAGUAUUAUAUUGGGUUACCAGUCGUAGAAAAUAGCCGUUAUUUGGAAAAACUAAAUUGCUUUAACUUUACGUUACCAGACCCGUUCAACAAAAUGUUGAGACAAGAAUGUUUUUCUACGGACCUGUCUGAUUUACCGGAGAUCAGUCAGGUGCAUAUCUUUGAAUACUUGGUCGAGAGGGAAUGUGUCUAAUCAAGAGAGGCGUUCAAGGUAUAUCGCAGCUUGGAUUCCUACAAGUAUUUCCACUCUGGAAAAGUCAAAAGCAUCCUUACGUAUAGGAAUGGAAAUAUCUGUGUGGUUUACGGGGCAAUCGAGGCAGGUCAGAUGCUUUCCAAGCGCUACUCCGCCUGGAUUGAUGCGACGAAGUCCGGCGAAGUCCAAAGCGGGCUUUGCACUUGCAUGGCAGGCAAUGGAGAGGUGUGUUGCCAUGUAGGCACGAUUUUGAUUACUGUGGAGCAGUGUGUCCAGGAUGGACUGCAGAGUGGCCUUCUGUCACCUCAAAACCAAGUGUUUGGUCACGGGUGACUAAGAAGAUUUUUCAGGCUGAUCCACAACCUGUUGUUCAAUGCAAUUUCAUCAAACCUGGCAAGAAGCGGCAAUAAGCUCCCCUCUGUCUUCCCCUGCUAAGUUCAUGUGGGUCACCUAAAAAACUUUUGAAAGCCCUGAAGGUAAGGUAUAGUCCACAUAUGCCCAACAAAUACACAAGUUAGCCUAAUGUAAAAUAUUCAGUACUAUAUAGGAUAUAGUAUGUGGCAGUGUAGGCGAGUAAGGUCUUUUCACCAUUUCUUUUAGGAAGUUGUGCCAGACUGUGCUCUCUUUUCGGUCAUGUGUGACAGCAGUGAGACAGACACAGCCUCUGAGGCAGGUAGUCAGGAUUUCACCAGCAGUCAGGGAGAGCAGGAUGUGCAGAGAGAGGAACCUGACGUGUUCAGCAGCUAAGCUCAGCCCCAUAGUGAACAUGGUAGUGCUCUGAGUUGUCAAAAGUGCAUGACAUUUUAUGAUGUCUUCAUUAAACUGAGCCCUGAGCAAGUGGUGGAACUUGAAAGAAACACCAGAAAACAGAGCAUAGAACCACUGUGGCGUGAUGCACGCAAGCUGCGCAUAACAGCAAGCAGAGCCAGCAAGGUGCCUCAGCGAGAGACAACUGACCCAGCUAAGUUUCUUGCUGAACACCUCUACCCUAUGGAAGCAA
This is a long non-coding RNA of Hypomesus transpacificus, 1248 nucleotides long. RefSeq lists it as uncharacterized. The transcript has 3 exons. Lineage: Eukaryota; Metazoa; Chordata; Actinopteri; Osmeriformes; Osmeridae. The record is from RefSeq and is a predicted model, not a curated record.